CCUACGGGAGGCAGCAGUGGGGAAUUUUGCGCAAUGCUCGUAAGAGUGACGCAGCGACGCCGCGUGAAUGACGAAGGCCUUCCGGUCGUUAAGUUCUUUUGACCGGGAAGAAAAUGCCUAUAAGUAACUGCGGAUGUAUUGACGGUACCUGUAUACGCAGCCCCGGUUAAAUCCGUGCCAGCAGCCGCGGUAAUACGGAGGGGGGGAGCGUUGUUCGGGGUGACUGGGCGGAAAGGGGACGUAGGUGGUGUUGUAAGUCAGUAGGCAAAGACUAGAGCUCAAACUUAGGAAGGCUAGUGAUACUGUAAGACUAGAGUAUCAGAGAGGAAUGCAGAAUGCCUGGUGUAGCGGUGAAAUGCGUAGAUAUCAGGAAGAAUACCGUUAGCGAAGGCGGCAAUCUGGCUGGAAACUGACGCUGAGGUGCGAAAGCGUGGGUAGCAAACAGGAUUAGAUACCCGAGUAGUC
RNAcentral lists this ribosomal RNA (465 nucleotides) under uncultured bacterium. Its description in RNAcentral is "partial 16S ribosomal RNA". It matches the Rfam family "Bacterial small subunit ribosomal RNA", at positions 338 to 795 of the family's 1533-position model. The record is from RNAcentral.